UACUUUUGCCGGCGAGCGGCGGACGGGUGAGUAAUGCCUGGGAAAUUGCCCAGUCGAGGGGGAUAACAGUUGGAAACGACUGCUAAUACCGCAUACGCCCUACGGGGGAAAGCAGGGGACCUUCGGGCCUUGCGCGAUUGGAUAUGCCCAGGUGGGAUUAGCUAGUUGGUGAGGUAAUGGCUCACCAAGGCGACGAUCCCUAGCUGGUCUGAGAGGAUGAUCAGCCACACUGGAACUGAGACACGGUCCAGACUCCUACGGGAGGCAGCAGUGGGGAAUAUUGCACAAUGGGGGAAACCCUGAUGCAGCCAUGCCGCGUGUGUGAAGAAGGCCUUCGGGUUGUAAAGCACUUUCAGCGAGGAGGAAAGGUCAGUAGCUAAUACCUGCUGGCUGUGACGUUACUCGCAGAAGAAGCACCGGCUAACUCCGUGCCAGCAGCCGGCGGUAA
Molecule: ribosomal RNA, 448 nt
Filed under: uncultured Aeromonas sp.
Lineage: Bacteria; Pseudomonadati; Pseudomonadota; Gammaproteobacteria; Aeromonadales; Aeromonadaceae
Description: bacterial SSU rRNA
Rfam family: Bacterial small subunit ribosomal RNA
Source: RNAcentral